GGAUGGGUGGCCGAGUGGUUGAAGGCACCGGUCUUGAAAACCGGCAGGCGCCAAAGCGUCUCGUGGGUUCGAAUCCCACCCCAUCCG
RNAcentral lists this transfer RNA (87 nucleotides) under bacterium. Its description in RNAcentral is "tRNA-Ser". It matches the Rfam family "tRNA". Rfam says of the family: Transfer RNA (tRNA) molecules are approximately 80 nucleotides in length. Their secondary structure includes four short double-helical elements and three loops (D, anti-codon, and T loops). The record is from RNAcentral.